Molecule: ribosomal RNA, 753 nt
Filed under: uncultured Comamonadaceae bacterium
Lineage: Bacteria; Pseudomonadati; Pseudomonadota; Betaproteobacteria; Burkholderiales; Comamonadaceae
Description: bacterial SSU rRNA
Rfam family: Bacterial small subunit ribosomal RNA
Source: RNAcentral
AUUGAACGCUGGCGGCAUGCCUUACACAUGCAAGUCGAACGGCAGCACGGGAGCAAUCCUGGUGGCGAGUGGCGAACGGGUGAGUAAUACAUCGGAACGUGCCCAAUCGUGGGGGAUAACGCAGCGAAAGCUGUGCUAAUACCGCAUACGAUCUACGGAUGAAAGCAGGGGAUCGCAAGACCUUGCGCGAAUGGAGCGGCCGAUGGCAGAUUAGGUAGUUGGUGAGGUAAAGGCUCACCAAGCCGUCGAUCUGUAGCUGGUCUGAGAGGACGACCAGCCACACUGGGACUGAGACACGGCCCAGACUCCUACGGGAGGCAGCAGUGGGGAAUUUUGGACAAUGGGCGAAAGCCUGAUCCAGCCAUGCCGCGUGCAGGAUGAAGGCCUUCGGGUUGUAAACUGCUUUUGUACGGAACGAAACGGCCUUUUCUAGUAAAGAGGGCUAAUGACGGUACCGUAAGAAUAAGCACCGGCUAACUACGUGCCAGCAGCCGCGGUAAUACGUAGGGUGCAAGCGUUAAUCGGAAUUACUGGGCGUAAAGCGUGCGCAGGCGGUUAUGUAAGACAGUUGUGAAAUCCCCGGGCUCAACCUGGGAACUGCAUCUGUGACUGCAUAGCUAGAGUACGGUAGAGGGGGAUGGAAUUCCGCGUGUAGCAGUGAAAUGCGUAGAUAUGCGGAGGAACACCGAUGGCGAAGGCAAUCCCCUGGACCUGUACUGACGCUCAUGCACGAAAGCGUGGGGAGCAAACAGG